UAAUACGUAGGGUGCGAGCGUUGUCCGGAAUUAUUGGGCGUAAAGAGCUCGUAGGCGGCCUGUUGCGUCUGCUGUGAAAGCCCGGGGCUUAACCCCGGGUCUGCAGUGGAUACGGGCAGGCUAGAGUUCGGCAGGGGAGACUGGAAUUCCUGGUGUAGCGGUGAAAUGCGCAGAUAUCAGGAGGAACACCGGUGGCGAAGGCGGGUCUCUGGGCCGAUACUGACGCUGAGGAGCGAAAGCGUGGGGAGCGAACAGGAUUAGAUACCCUGGUAGUCCACGCCGUAAACGAUGGGUGCUAGGUGUGGGGGGUGUCGACUCCCUCCGUGCCGAAGCUAACGCAUUAAGCACCCCGCCUGGGGAGUACGGCCGCAAGGCUA
This 377-nucleotide ribosomal RNA is filed under the name uncultured bacterium. RNAcentral's name for it is "bacterial SSU rRNA". It matches the Rfam family "Bacterial small subunit ribosomal RNA", at positions 521 to 896 of the family's 1533-position model. The record is from RNAcentral.